UUGCUUUGACAGCACAUAUAUUAAAAUUGGAAUGAUACAGAGAAGAUUAGCAUGGCCCUGCGCAAGGAUGAGAACCAAAUUUGUGAAGUGUUCCAUAUUUAA
Molecule: small nuclear RNA, 102 nt
Organism: Suncus etruscus (white-toothed pygmy shrew)
Lineage: Eukaryota; Metazoa; Chordata; Mammalia; Eulipotyphla; Soricidae
Source: RefSeq, a predicted model, not a curated record